CUUUAGCCCCGAUAGAAGUGAAAAUCCUUUUUGUUUUUGCUGCCAAAAACAAAAAGAUUGUAACGGAUAGCGGGAACUAUA
This 81-nucleotide small RNA is filed under the name Flavobacterium sp. 5. RNAcentral's name for it is "Flavo-1 RNA". It matches the Rfam family "Flavo-1 RNA". Lineage: Bacteria; Pseudomonadati; Bacteroidota; Flavobacteriia; Flavobacteriales; Flavobacteriaceae. The record is from RNAcentral.